AGUGAACGCUGGCGGUAGGCCUAACACAUGCAAGUCGAACGGCAGCACAGUAAGAGCUUGCUCUUACGGGUGGCGAGUGGCGGACGGGUGAGGAAUACAUCGGAAUCUACUUUUUCGUGGGGGAUAACGUAGGGAAACUUACGCUAAUACCGCAUACGACCUACGGGUGAAAGCAGGGGAUCUUCGGACCUUGCGCGACUGAAUGAGCCGAUGUCGGAUUAGCUAGUUGGCGGGGUAAAGGCCCACCAAGGCGACGAUCCGUAGCUGGUCUGAGAGGAUGAUCAGCCACACUGGAAGUGAGACACGGUCCAGACUCCUACGGGAGGCAGCAGUGGGGAAUAUUGGACAAUGGGCGCAAGCCUGAUCCAGCCAUACCGCGUGGGUGAAGAAGGCCUUCGGGUUGUAAAGCCCUUUUGUUGGGAAAGAAAAGCAGCAGGUUAAUACCCCGCUGUUCUGACGGUACCCAAAGAAUAAGCACCGGCUAACUUCGUG
This 492-nucleotide ribosomal RNA is filed under the name uncultured bacterium. RNAcentral describes it as "partial 16S ribosomal RNA". It matches the Rfam family "Bacterial small subunit ribosomal RNA", at positions 29 to 507 of the family's 1533-position model. The record is from RNAcentral.